CCUCAUUCCUUUGGGCCUACAUUCCCUAUUUCCCACGUCUCUCUGUCUACUUGUUAUCCUACCCAGCUAGGCCCAGGCACACGCUAUCUUGCAGGUACAAAACUCAAAAAUACCUGUGUUCGGUACUUUCCCAGCUCCUGGUCGGCUAACGAGCGAAUGUCUGCGUGACCUCUGUCAUGGAGCCAUUUCUCCACACUAUACUAUCAAAGUUUAAAGGUAAAUUAUUAUAUAUUAGGAGAUGGUGUAAAGUGUAUGUUGUAAUGUGUAGGAUAUAUACAAAGAUACGUACUUGAAAGUCCGUAGAGGAAACAAAUUUUUACACCUUCUGUUUGACUGUUUGUCAUAUAUUUGGUUUUAUUUCCCAGGGAUCAGUGAAUUUUAACUCUGGAGUCCUCUAUGCUAAGGAUGCUCAGCUUACAGAUGAUGAAAUGUUCAGUAAUGGUGAGUUUUUCACCUUCUCCUUCAUUGUUUUGCUCAUCUGAAUAAAAAAAAAAAAGGCAAGAUUAAAGAAAAAGCAAUAGUUUUAUUAUUUUUACCCUGUUAUGUCUGUUUCCUCAGUAUUUGCUGGAGCUGUGCUUACCCAAGGUUUGGGUAAAACAAGCUUUGGGUUCCCUCUGUCUCACUGGGAGUUGCCCAAUUCAGUUGCAUCUGGUGAAAUUCACCCUGAGACCUUACAGAACCAGCUCCAACUACGUGAGAGCCAUUUGCAGUUCUCUCCAGACGCCUGGAGAAUGGGUGACGUUUCUGAGGAUCCGGCGAGCGUGCUUCUGUCAAAACUCAGUCUGUGAAAUUUCUGGGGAAAACCCUUCUGUGUCCUGAAGGGUUCAAACUCUGGAUUUUUUGUCUUUGCAAAAUAUUGUGCAUUUCACUCUUUGGAACCUCUCAGAUGGUUCUUUGGUGCAGCACCACCCCAUGGGACACUUGGCUGCUGUCCUGAAGGGGUUGGUGGCUAGAAUUGUAAAUCCUGGAGAGUUUAUAAGUCUUCUGUCCCCAGGGAGGUAUCAUGCUUUGUUUACUUUUGUUCUGUUGGUUAGGUGCUGCUUCUCGUUGCAAGUACGAAUUUCAAACUGCCCUGUUCUUAUUUUAACUGUUUUCCUGGUUCUCUCCGUCCGGCAGGGAAAGACUCUCGUAUCCUUGUCGUCGGGCUCGGUGCUGUCCAAGAAGAUACAGAGACUAAAAAAAUCAUAAGAAGCAAAAUAUGACUGCAGGGAAAAGAAGCUGGAGAGAACAGAAGACUCAUCACGGCGGGACAGCGUGAGGACUGAAAGUGUAAGAAGAUGUGGAGGGAAACAGAGAAUCUGACAGGAGCAGCGAACGCACGAGUGCACGAAUUUUGCUUUUUGCUUGGAUGUAAACUCAGGAGUUGAAAGGAAUUUGGGAGUGAGAAGGGACAUUUCAGAAGGAGAAGAAGAAAAAGAAGUUGUUGUUGUUGCUACAGUCCUGGCAAAAGCUUUUGUUCUAGCUAAUAAAAGAAGUUAGUUUAAAAAACAAAAAGGAAAAAAUGUAGUG
Molecule: long non-coding RNA, 1509 nt
Organism: Melospiza georgiana
Lineage: Eukaryota; Metazoa; Chordata; Aves; Passeriformes; Passerellidae
Exons: 3
Source: RefSeq, a predicted model, not a curated record